UUCGAGGAAUCUUCUGGCUCUCCUUAAGCAUGAUGAUUCAGUUACUAAGGCUUGGCAGGCUCUGUUUUCAUGUAGGGACGUACGUACAGUUUAUGCAACUAUCCAAAAAGUAGUACUCGACCGGUCCUCCAUUCCCCAUCUAUUUUCCAGAUUUACUCGUGCUCUUGUCGUCGGCAGAGCUACUCAUUUUCCCCCGUGCCGGCCAUCUUCCCAAGGUGCGGCGAGAGCUCCGGCGUGCCACCUCUUGUCGCAAAACUACCAGCCAACUCCACCCGGCCGCCGGGAGGCCUGCGGUAGAACCUCUACACCGCGUCGCCGACGCGCAGGUACAGUACACCGUCGUCGUGCGCUGUCGCCGUCACCACCGAGCCUUCUACACCGCGCCGCCACGCGCAGGUACAGUACGCAGGGCACAAUGGUUCUGGAAAGCUCACUCGAGAUCUCGUCGGUCAGUUCGUCUUGCCUGCUCUUCUCAUUCACGCAGUAAUCCAUUCAGUUUUAAUUGGUUUUGAUCUUGCUGACGCCUGACCUUGCAUGUCUGUUUCAGAUCGGCCUUCAGGAUUCAGGAUCCAAAGCAGACGACGAGGUGAGCGUUGGAUAUGAUGGCCACGGCAACGAUGAAUAGCAAGCCAUUGCCGGCGGGGAUGGGAAUGAAGUGAUUUUGUUGUUUGUUCCUCCUGAGGUUGCUCCGGGCUUUGUGGUCGAGGAGGAGCAUGUGGCGGAGAGCAUGGGCGCCGGUGGCGUCGGCCUUGCAAUCGGGCUGGUUCAGCUCGAGGACAGCGACUCUUCUUCAGAUGCAGGGUACCAAGACGUCGACGAGGGCGACGACGAGGUGCUAAGCCACCGGCGUCGUUUUGGCGACGACGGCGUCCGCAACCUCAUGCAGGAACGGGGCUGCGCUCGUCUAGUUUGACUCAGCUUCGGCCGUCCCGGAAGCCGGAACAAACUAUUGUCAGUUAGUAGUUAGUCGUCAGUUAGCAUUUCAAGGUGAGAUUAACAAAUGCAGACGAUGUUUCUUAGUUCUGUUGUUCCUCUAGAUUCAGUAACUGGCUUGGACAGCAGUUUAGAGUACAGUUGUUUGUUUUGGGAUCCAUUUAGUUCGAUGAAAACUACCAACCAAUGAUUCUUGUACUCCCUUCCUGUGUCAUGUAAGCUGUUCCAAUGUCAUGUGAAUGAGUUUUAUCAAUGAAAAUGGUGUGUGUUGGGCA
This is a long non-coding RNA of Lolium rigidum, 1208 nucleotides long. RefSeq lists it as uncharacterized. The transcript is spliced from 3 exons. NCBI's taxonomy places the organism in Eukaryota, Viridiplantae, Streptophyta, Magnoliopsida, Poales, Poaceae. The record is from RefSeq and is a predicted model, not a curated record.